AACGAACGCUGGCGGCAGGCCUAACACAUGCAAGUCGAGCGCGCCCUUCGGGGUGAGCGGCGGACGGGUGAGUAACGCGUGGGAACGUGCCCUUCUCUGCGGAAUAGCCUCGGGAAACUGAGAGUAAUACCGCAUACGCCCUUUGGGGGAAAGAUUUAUCGGAGAAGGAUCGGCCCGCGUUGGAUUAGGUAAUUGGUGGGGUAAUGGCCCACCAAGCCGACGAUCCAUAGCUGGUUUGAGAGGAUGAUCAGCCACACUGGGACUGAGACACGGCCCAGCCUCCUACGGGAGGCAGCAGUGGGGAAUCUUAGACAAUGGGGGCAACCCUGAUCUAGCCAUGCCGCGUGAGUGAUGAAGGCCUUAGGGUUGUAAAGCUCUUUCAGCUGGGAAGAUAAUGACGGUACCAGCAGAAGAAGCCCCGGCUAACUCCGUG
Molecule: ribosomal RNA, 433 nt
Filed under: uncultured bacterium
Lineage: Bacteria
Description: partial 16S ribosomal RNA
Rfam family: Bacterial small subunit ribosomal RNA
Source: RNAcentral